CAGUCGCCGCGGUAAUACGUAGGUGGCAAGCGUUGUCCGGAGUUAUUGGGCAUAAAGGGCUCGCAGGCGGUUUCUUAAGUCUGAUGUGAAAGCCCCCGGCUCAACCGGGGAGGGUCAUUGGAAACUGGAAACUUGAGUGCAGAAGAGGAGAGUGGAAUUCCACGUGUAGCGGUGAAAUGCGUAGAGAUGUGGAGGAACACCAGUGGCGAAGGCGACUCCCUGGCCUGUAACUGACGCUGAGGAGCGAAAGCGUGGGGAGCGAACAGGAUUAGAUACCCCUGUAGUCCCUGUCUCUUAUACA
This 301-nucleotide ribosomal RNA is filed under the name uncultured bacterium. RNAcentral's name for it is "partial 16S ribosomal RNA". It matches the Rfam family "Bacterial small subunit ribosomal RNA", at positions 509 to 808 of the family's 1533-position model. The record is from RNAcentral.